This is a long non-coding RNA of Aegilops tauschii subsp. strangulata, 805 nucleotides long. RefSeq lists it as uncharacterized. NCBI's taxonomy places the organism in Eukaryota, Viridiplantae, Streptophyta, Magnoliopsida, Poales, Poaceae. The record is from RefSeq and is a predicted model, not a curated record.
CCUCUCAUGUAUAAAUAGGAGCAAACCAGAGGUCAGAUAGCAUCCAGAACGAAGAUAUCUUCCUGCCUCCACUUCCUGUUCCUCUAGGCAGCCUGGGAGAGUGAGCGAGCAAGCAAGAAAUUGGUAACAAUCGAUCUAAGUGACAACCAGAUUCAGAUCCUCGAGAGGACUUUCAAGGUGUGCCCCAACCCUGAUGAGACCCAGCGCGCCCAUCACGGCCGCGAACUUGGCGUGCAGCCCCAGCAGAUCAAAUUCUGGUUCAAGAACCGCCGUGCCCAGAUGAGGAGGUGUUUGGGGUUGACGGCAUGGCAGGCUUGGGACGAGCAGGUUGACAACCACUUAUCCGACUCAGAGAAUGACGAGAUUCACUAAGUCAACUUCGCCAUGUGGGUUUGUGGAUUGAGGGCUGAUCCAUUGAUGUAAACUAAGUGAAUGCCCUAGGUUUUUUCCCUUCAGUCUGUUUGUUCCAAAUAACGUGUCAUAGACCUGCCUGCGUGCAGAUGGUACGCACUGAGAGUCGGUCUCGACGGCAAGCAUGUUUGCGUCGAGUCCAUGCAUCGAGUCCAUGUGUCAGGUUGGGGUCGCUCCCGUUUCUACCGCGUCGUGAACCGAGUCAUGGGAUGGCAUGGCACAUCGGAUCACAGGCGAUAAUAGUGGAGCUGUAGAUCCUGGACCCAGGAUCUGAUUCGUGGGAUGGCACGAGUCAUUAGGAAGGUGGUUUGUGUUUAGGUCGGUCGUGCAACGACCGUUCUUUCUCUCUGUAUUCCAAAAAAAAAAAUCUGUAGCAAGUAUUCAUGGCAUCAAA